CGGGCGGUUCGCCGCCCGUGACUCUGCGAGAAGUCCAUUGAACCUUAUCAUUUAGAGGAAGGAGAAGUCGUAACAAGGUUUCCGUAGGUGAACCUGCGGAAGGAUCAUUG
This 110-nucleotide ribosomal RNA is filed under the name Sobralia gentryi. Its description in RNAcentral is "partial 18S ribosomal RNA". It matches the Rfam family "Eukaryotic small subunit ribosomal RNA", at positions 1725 to 1831 of the family's 1831-position model. The record is from RNAcentral. Lineage: Eukaryota; Viridiplantae; Streptophyta; Magnoliopsida; Asparagales; Orchidaceae.